GUGGGGAAUAUUGGACAAUGGGCGCAAGCCUGAUCCAGCAAUGCCGCGUGGGUGAAGAAGGUCUUCGGAUCGUAAAGCCCUUUCGACAGGGACGAUGAUGACGGUACCUGUAGAAGAAGCCCCGGCUAACUUCGUGCCAGCAGCCGCGGUAAUACGAAGGGGGCUAGCGUUACUCGGAAUUACUGGGCGUAAAGGGCGCGUAGGCGGCUCUGUUAGUCAGGCGUGAAAGUCAUGGGCUUAACCUGGGGACUGCGAUUGAUACUGCAGGGCUUGAGGCCGAGAGAGGGUGGUGGAAUGCCCAGUGUAGAGGUGAAAUUCGUAGAUAUUGGGAAGAACACCGGUGGCGAAGGCGACCACCUGGCUCGGUUCUGACGCUGAGGCGCGACAGCGUGGGGAGCAAACAGGAUUAGAAACCCCGGUAGUCC
Molecule: ribosomal RNA, 425 nt
Filed under: uncultured bacterium
Lineage: Bacteria
Description: partial 16S ribosomal RNA
Rfam family: Bacterial small subunit ribosomal RNA
Source: RNAcentral